UACGAAGGGGGCUAGCGUUGUUCGGAAUUACUGGGCGUAAAGGGCGCGUAGGCGGUUCGUACAGUCAGACGUGAAAUUCCUGGGCUCAACCUGGGGGCUGCGUUUGAUACGUGCGGACUUGAGUGCGGAAGAGGGUCGUGGAAUUCCCAGUGUAGAGGUGAAAUUCGUAGAUAUUGGGAAGAACACCGGUGGCGAAGGCGGCGACCUGGUCCGAUACUGACGCUGAGGCGCGAAAGCGUGGGGAGCAAACAGG
This 253-nucleotide ribosomal RNA is filed under the name uncultured bacterium. Its description in RNAcentral is "partial 16S ribosomal RNA". It matches the Rfam family "Bacterial small subunit ribosomal RNA", at positions 524 to 776 of the family's 1533-position model. The record is from RNAcentral.